Molecule: ribosomal RNA, 228 nt
Filed under: uncultured bacterium
Lineage: Bacteria
Description: partial 16S ribosomal RNA
Rfam family: Bacterial small subunit ribosomal RNA
Source: RNAcentral
AGUGUAGGCGGCUUCGUAAGUCGGAUGUGAAAGCCCUGGGCUUAACCUGGGAAUGGCAUUCGAUACUGCGCGGCUAGAGUCUGAUAGAGGGAAGUGGAAUUCCAGGUGUAGCGGUGAAAUGCGUAGAGAUCUGGAGGAACACCAGUGGCGAAGGCGGCUUCCUGGAUCAAGACUGACGCUGAGGCUCGAAAGCGUGGGGAGCAAACAGGAUUAGAUACCCUGGUAGUC